This 396-nucleotide ribosomal RNA is filed under the name uncultured bacterium. RNAcentral's name for it is "partial 16S ribosomal RNA". It matches the Rfam family "Bacterial small subunit ribosomal RNA", at positions 523 to 918 of the family's 1533-position model. The record is from RNAcentral.
AUACGUAGGUGGCGAGCGUUGUCCGGAAUUAUUGGGCGUAAAGAGCAUGUAGGCGGCUUAAUAAGUCGAGCGUGAAAAUGCGGGGCUCAACCCCGUAUGGCGCUGGAAACUGUUAGGCUUGAGUGCAGGAGAGGAAAGGGGAAUUCCCAGUGUAGCGGUGAAAUGCGUCGAUAUUGGGAGGAACACCAGUGGCGAAGGCGCCUUUCUGGACUGUGUCUGACGCUGAGAUGCGAAAGCCAGGGUAGCGACCGGGAUUAGAUACCCCGGUAGUCCUGGCCGUAAACGAUGGGUACUAGGUGUAGGAGGUAUCGACCCCUUCUGUGCCGGAGUUAACGCAAUAAGUACCCCGCCUGGGGAGUACGGCCGCAAGGUUGAAACUCAAAUGAAUUGGCGGGG